UUCCUAUGUCUAUUAAAGGAAGCUCCAAUUUUCCCCCCUCUCUCUCCUCUCUCUCUCUUUCCUCUCUUCCUAACCAGACAGCGGGAGGGUUUCUGGCUCCUCGCCAGCCCAAAAGCCUCUAAGUGUUUUGCACUUGUUUCAGGGAGCCCGGGGAUUUUUUUCAGCAUUUUCACUAGAGAACAAAGAGUUCUUUACAAAGGAAGGGGGAGAGCGAGCUUAACGCCUGAGAUAUGUUUUUCUAUUUUUAUUAGGGAUUUUUUUUGCCCCCCUCCUAAAAAGAAAGAGAGAGAAGCAAAGCACAGAAUGUGUGGCAGCAACAAAAUAGAUUGAAAGCAAAUGCAGUUCCCUUACCUUCAAAUUAUAAUUUGGAAUUAAUAAGAACAGGAAUGGAAGGGGGACAAGAAGAAGUGAGUUUGAUGAGGAAACUGAGGCAGAGAAAUGUUUGAGUGACUUUUCUAAAUGCACACAGCAAAUCAAUGGCAGAACCAGGAAAAUAACUUGGGAAUCCUGGUUCUCAGUCUCAUGCUCUAAGCACCAGGAAACACUACCCCUCUGAAUGUAAGUUAUUGUUAUUAAGAUGUGGUUUAUCUUUCAUGUGAGUCACCAUCUGUUAUAUUGCUAACUUACUAUUAGUUAUGAAAGCUAUUCAAAUUUUAAACUGUUUUGCAUUCUCACAGCUACUUAAGCCCACAGUAGACUUUUUGACAACAGUGACAGCGCUUCUCAUGUGAAAGAACUGGACAAAUAUUAACUCAUGUUUUUUCAGUAAAUUUUUGUAAUGCCAUAAACCCACAGUUUAGACUGAACUUAAACAGACCUUGAAAAAUCCAUGUAUUCGAUGCUGAUUGGUUCCAUAUCUGUCAGUUGUACUUUAGUUAAGACAUGACUGUAUAUUCUCAUAGAUAUGAUUAAGAAUAUAAAUAUCCAAAUGUUAAUUUAAUUUAAAUUGAGUCAUUGAUAACUUUAUGUGUCUUGGGCCUAACAGCUCUGUGGCUGCUAGGGUCCUUUGAACAUGUAGUUGGAAAAACGUAUUAAUCUUGGGCUGUUAGUGAUGCUUCUGGGGACCUCAGUGAACCAGGGAGAGCCAGGCAGGUUGUGGAGGCAGUCUGGAAAAGCCCUGACCAGGAGCUGGGGCAGGGACUGCAGUAGUAAAAUGAGAAAAGAUUUUUGAAAAGUAGAAGUUGCUCUGUUUUUCUCUCAGUGUACAGGUGGUCGCUAGGGGAAUACGUCCAUUUAGAUACUUGCAAUCACCAUUUUUAAAGGAGCUGUGAAGCCCAGGCUUGAGAAAGGGAGCCUCUGCAAACAGGGAGAAAUAGCCUUGUAGAUGAAGAAGGAAAAAAUUGUCCCAAACUAUCUGUUAGCAGAUGGAACAACAGAGACACUGCCAGGAAGAGUCUGAGACAGACUGGACACUGAUGCCUUUUCAUCUCUGAAGAUGGUCAACCAGGAAGGGCACUUCCAAAAUUUCUAACUAGUUACUUCUACGAGAUAAAACCUACUGAAUUUCUGAAAGCACUUUUGUUGUGCUGAGCUAGAAUAUAUCUUUCAGAAAUAGAUAAUCCUAAAGUCUUUAUGUAAUCAGGAUAUGCAGUCAUUAGGAAUGACCCCAUCUUUAAGACAAUUAUUCUGAAGAUUUUAAACUCUGUUCCACUUGUUUUGAGUCUGACUUUGACUUAACUUCAGCUAUGCCUUUGUCUGAUGUAUUAAGGAUCCCUCUACUGUCAGAAAUCUUCUCCUUAUGCUUGGAUUAAUAAACUUUGCUUGUCUGGCUAACUGGUGGUAAAUUUUUGACACACAGAAAAGAGGGAAUGGGGAGGUGAGUAAUGGAAUUUGAAGUGAGAGGUGAGGAGUUACUCGUGGCAGAAGAAGUGAAUGAAUAGAGAAGAGAUACAGUAUGAGAGAGAGUGGGUUUCAUUUUCUACUUGAAUGUAUAAGGCAGAAAUGAAAGAAAUAUGUGGCUAAAGUCAAAGGUCCAGUUAAAAGGAAGGAAAGAGAUGGGAACAAAAGUGAGAAGGUCUUGAGAAUAGACACAGAAAGUAAUGUGAAAAGAGAGGCAUUGUAAAGCUAUUAAAGACAAAAAAAAAGAAACAAAUUUAGUCUGCAGUGGUCAAUAAGAUCAAAACAAAUGGUGAAAUAUCAGAGUAUGUUAAGAAUGUAACAAAAAGUAGCAAUAAUUCACCUUGGAUUAGGGCUUCUCAAGCAGCGG
This is a non-coding RNA of Sturnus vulgaris (Common starling), 2206 nucleotides long. The record is from RefSeq and is a predicted model, not a curated record. NCBI's taxonomy places the organism in Eukaryota, Metazoa, Chordata, Aves, Passeriformes, Sturnidae.